UCAUAAUGCACAUCAUUAAGACAAUACUAGUUAUCUUUCGAAUGCAAAUUUCAAGGGACCACUUAAAUGUACUUGCCCUGAAGAAUAUACACCCUCGACUGGGAUGGUGCACGGUUGAAAGUAUGAUCUUGAACUUCUUUAUAUUGCACAGACUGAGACCCCAAGGCUGCAUCUAAUUCGAGUGUUUUGUCCGAUGCCAAAGCUGAGUCAACCUGCCACAUCAGCACAUAGCCCUAUAUCACUUUUUAGAUAAAGUUGUGACCUCCAUAAUCACCCACGAAAGAUGAUUCAUUUCCAAAAGGGUGUUCAAAUUACAUGAAGGUUUGCAGAAUAACAAUAUACAGAUCGCAACAGUUUUCUUUUCAUUUCAUGUCAUGUAUAUCUUGAUUAAAGGGGCCUUUGGAUGUCUGAUUUGAAAGUGACUGAUUUUUAAUGUAUCAUCUGUGAUGCUCAUGUGAUUAAA
This is a long non-coding RNA of Erigeron canadensis, 463 nucleotides long. RefSeq lists it as uncharacterized. The transcript has 2 exons. NCBI's taxonomy places the organism in Eukaryota, Viridiplantae, Streptophyta, Magnoliopsida, Asterales, Asteraceae. The record is from RefSeq and is a predicted model, not a curated record.